GCCUGCCCAGUGACCACAAAUUCAACGGCCGCAGUAUUUUAACCGCGCGAAGGUAGCGUAAUCACUUGUUUUUUAAAUAAAGACUAGUAUGAACGGCCACACGAGGACUUAACUGUCUCCUUUAUCCAAUCAGUGAAACUGAUCCCCCCGUGAAGAAGCGGGGAUAACAUCAUAAGACGAGAAGACCCUAUGGAGCUUUAAACCUAAUCAACUAUCUCUUUUAUUUCCAAGGAACUAAUUAUUAUUAAGAUAUUAUUGAUAUUGGUUUUUGGUUGGGGCGACCAUGAAGAAAAAAUAAACCUUCCUGACGACUCAUAAACCAAGAGCAACAGCUCUAAAUAUUAAGACACUUAACCAUCAUUGACCCAUUUUAUGAUCAACGAACCAAGUUACCCUAGGGAUAACAGCGCAAUCCAUUUUAAGAGUCCCUAUCGACAAAUGGGUUUACGACCUCGAUGUUGGAUCAGGGCACCCAAGUGGCGCAACCGCUACUAAAGGUUCGUUUGUUCAACGAUUAAAGCCCU
Molecule: ribosomal RNA, 524 nt
Filed under: Pelobatrachus stejnegeri
Lineage: Eukaryota; Metazoa; Chordata; Amphibia; Anura; Megophryidae
Description: Megophrys stejnegeri partial 16S ribosomal RNA
Rfam family: Bacterial large subunit ribosomal RNA
Source: RNAcentral